UACGAGUGGUGCAAGCGUUAUUCUGAAUCAUUGGGCGUAAAGGGCGCGUAGACGGUAUGUUAAGUUUGUUGUUAAAUCCUUCGGCUUAACCGAAGAUAGGCAAUGAAAACUGGCGUGCUAGAGGGUGGAAGAGAGAAGUGGAAUUCUUGGAGUAGCGGUAAAUGCGUAGAUCUCGAGAGGAACACCAAUGGCGAAGGCAGCUUCUUGGUCCAAUCCUGACGCUGAGGCGCGAAAGCGUGGGGAGCAAACAGG
Molecule: ribosomal RNA, 252 nt
Filed under: uncultured bacterium
Lineage: Bacteria
Description: partial 16S ribosomal RNA
Rfam family: Bacterial small subunit ribosomal RNA
Source: RNAcentral